GGGGGCAAGUAAAUACGUGAGAUAGACAUCUAUAAACAUUAGUAGGAAAUGAGCAAAGGGGGUUACUGAUUAGCUUUCUUCCCAUAGGAAACUCCUAGACCAUAUUGGAGAAACGUGAGGAGCCCUCUGCAGGAAGCGAAGCUGAAUUUCACAAAUCUUCCCUUUCUGACGUCUCCCGAAUUUCUAGGAAUGCCCCUUCCCUGUUACUAUAUUUGGAGGUAGUUUCUAGGAAAAAAAUAAUUUUCGGACGGUCUUGGACUCACCACACCUACUCUCGGAAGACUCUGAGCCCCAGGUCUCCUGGCACGUCCCCCGCAGAGUUGAGGAGCCCCCGGCUCAGGCUCAGCAACUCCCGGCGCAGACGGCACGUCUUUGUAGCACUGUUGGAGGAAUGAGCAUGGAGAAGGAGUGGAAAGGGGAGAGGUGUCUUUGUGGCAACAAUGAGUGAAUCUUCUCUAGUUUC
Long non-coding RNA from Apus apus (common swift), 463 nucleotides. RefSeq lists it as uncharacterized. The record is from RefSeq and is a predicted model, not a curated record. The transcript is spliced from 2 exons. Lineage: Eukaryota; Metazoa; Chordata; Aves; Apodiformes; Apodidae.